GACGAACGCUGGCGGCGUGCUUAACACAUGCAAGUCGAACGGAAAGGCCCUGCUUUUGUGGGGUGCUCGAGUGGCGAACGGGUGAGUAACACGUGAGUAACCUGCCCUUGACUUUGGGAUAACUUCAGGAAACUGGGGCUAAUACCGGAUAGGAGCUCCUGCUGCAUGGUGGGGGUUGGAAAGUUUCGGCGGUUGGGGAUGGACUCGCGGCUGAUCAGCUUGUUGGUGGGGUAGUGGCUUACCAAGGCUUUGACGGGUAGCCGGCCUGAGAGGGUUACCGGCCACAUUGGGACUGAGAUACGGACCAGACUCCUACGGGGGGCAGCAGUGGGGAAUAUUGCACAAUGGGCGGAAGCCUGAUGCAGCGACGCCGCGUGCGGGAUGACGGCCUUCGGGUUGUAAACCGCUUUCGCCUGGGACGAAGCGUGAGUGACGGUAAUGGGUAAAGAAGCACCGGCUAACUACGUG
Molecule: ribosomal RNA, 468 nt
Filed under: uncultured bacterium
Lineage: Bacteria
Description: partial 16S ribosomal RNA
Rfam family: Bacterial small subunit ribosomal RNA
Source: RNAcentral